This 402-nucleotide unclassified non-coding RNA is filed under the name soil metagenome. Its description in RNAcentral is "partial contains 5.8S ribosomal RNA, internal transcribed spacer 2, and large subunit ribosomal RNA". The stretch from base 1 to 121 matches the Rfam family "5.8S ribosomal RNA", at positions 35 to 154 of the family's 154-position model. The record is from RNAcentral.
GAUGAAGAACGCAGCGAAAUGCGAUAAGUAAUGUGAAUUGCAGAAUUCAGUGAAUCAUCGAAUCUUUGAACGCACCUUGCGCCCUUUGGCUAUUCCGAAGGGCAUGCCUGUUUGAGUAUCAUGAACACCUCAACUCUCAUGGUUUGCCAUGAUGAGCUUGGACUCUGGGGGUCUUGCUGGCCUAUGGUCAGCUCCUCUCAAAUAAAUCAGCUUGCCAGUGUUUGGUGGCAUCACAGGUGCGAUAACUAUCUACGCUUGUGGUUUUCCAUCAGGUAACCUUCAGUGAUGGAGGUUCGCUGGAGCUCAUAAAUGUCCCUCCUCAGCGAGGACAGCUUUUUGAACGUUUGAUCUCAAAUCAGGUAGGACUACCCGCUGAACUUAAGCAUAUCAAUAAGCGGAGGA